CAUACAAAAAUUCAAAGAAUCUAUACACAUGAUUAGGAGCUUAAAAAUACCCAAAUUCUCUCCUUGGAAGGGUAACGGAAGCAUAUACAUCAUUCUUCCAUAUAUCGUUUUACCAGCAGCUUGAAAGGAACUGUCAAUUUUCUGUUGUAAGGUCAGUACAGAAUCAAGAACCACCACAACCUCAGCCAUGGUAGGACGCUGCUUUGGAUUAAUGUGCAAACAUCUCUCUGCAAUUCGAACAAACUUCCUCAAACAUUUUGGGGAUAUUUGACGCCGUAUACUAUAAUCAAUUAUAUUCUUUAAAUUGCCCUGUUUUAUUGAUUCUUGAGCCCAUGGCACUAAACCCCAUUGCUCCUCAUCAAGAGUUUCAUCCACCGCACGUUUCCGACGUAACAGUUCCAGCAAUAUCACCCCAAAAGAGUACACGUCAGACUUCCUAUUUAACCUUCCAGUUGUGUAAUAAUUUGGAUCAAUAUACCCAAAAGUUCCUUUAACAAGUGUGUUGACAAUAGUAGAUGGCCGAUUCGUUGACCCUAUUUUGGACAACCCGAAGUCUGAGAUUUUAGCUGCCCAGUUGUCUUGUAACAAAAUAUUAGAGCUCUUGACAUCACGAUGUAUGACACCAAACUCAAUCCCAGUACCUGUGUGUAAGUAAUCUAACCCACGAGCAGUACCUAUACAGAUCUUGAGUCGUUGAAGCCAAGAAAGAGGGGUUCCAAGUUUAUGGAGGUGGUCUUCGAGGGUUCCAUUGGGCAUGUAUUCAUAGAUGAUGAUCAUCUCUUUCUCGUGAUUACAGUAACCAAACAGAGACACGAGAUGACAGUGACGCAACUUGGAAAGCAUCUUAACUUCCGCCCAGAACUCCGAUGCACCUUGAGAGGACAUGGAAUCCAGUCGUUUAAUGGCAGCAACAACAACAUUUGAUCCGUUGAUAAUGUUACCUUUAUAAACCUUUCCAAAUCCCCCAUGCCCAAUUACUAAUGAUUCAUCAAAGUUAUUGGUUGCUGAGAGAAUCUCAGGGAAUUCGAAGGGACGGCAUGGUUGUGACCAUUCUAUGGAGGAGGAGGUCGAGGGUUGAGAUUCAUUGCCGUCGCCCAUAAUUAUUGAUAUUAUAGAGGCAGAAUGAGUAGCUUCAUACUUGAUACUGACAAUUUAUAAUCAACCAUACAAAAACUCAAAAGCCUAUCUUCUUCAUCUAAACAGAGACCAAGUCAACGUUACGUUACUCCAAAAGUUUUAUAGUCAACGUACCAAAGAAUAGCAGCCUUUGCUGUUGAUCAUAUUAUUUUUGUUUCUUAUUCUUAUAUUUAUCUUAUUACAUUUAUUAACUGUAUUAUCAAAAACCAUUAUUUGUCUUAACUUUUAAAAUAUAUUAUUAAUACUAUGUUGAUUGGUGAUAUAAUAUGACUAAGAUCGCAUAUAUGAAAAAAAUGUUUAAUAAAAGACACAUCCAAGGAAAAUACAUGGUCAUUUCGUGGCUAAGCUACUUGAAUCUCUCUUAAAAUUUAUUUUUGAAUUAUUUUUAGUCAAACGUUUUAUAUGACAUGUAAUUAAUCAUUCAACUUACAACAAGAAAAAUAUUUCAUGGGUAAAGAUUUUACGGUGCAUGCAAAAAUGAAUAGUAUAAAGUAGAAAAAUGAGCGUACAUCUAUCAUGUACCUCAUUAAACAACCAAAGUCUAAGAAGUAUGACCUCAUAUCUUUUAUCCAUUAUUUGUUAUUAGAAUAUAUUUGCUCCAACCUCUUCAAAAUUUCUUCCCUUGAAGGCCUAGCCUCAGGAUCUUCAGCUACACAUCUUGUUGCGAGUGAGGUAAAUCCAAAAUCCGACACUGAUGCACGUUGGCUUGUUAGGGUUUCAAACAAACACCACUCCGAAACUAUAUUUAUUGUACAUAAUCACAAGAUAUAGAUAUAUUAACCUUUCAAGCUACUCUAUGAUGUUUUAUCUUCAUAUUAAUGUGGGACACCAUCACUCGAUCAAAUAUUACUUAUUGUAGCCUCUUUCAUCUCAUCGAACUCAUCGAUAUUAGGGUAAAAUUUAGCCAAACCAAAGUACGUGAGUUUCACAUUAAAAUUCUAGAAUAAAAAUAAAUUUGUUAACUUUUAUGGCAUAAAACCAAAAACAUCGCCACUAAAAUAACUUCAAUACUUGAUCCAGCAAUAUAUUAAAGGUUUUAAUACAACCGUGUAUGACUUGUUCUUUUGACGAGUGCAUAUAAGCGAGUCCACGCGCUACACUAUGAUCAUCAUAAGACGUCUUUCCCAUGAAAGUGGUUUAGCAAUAUCUAUUUCAUUGCAAGAAUUCAACUUAUUAGUAAAAAUAAUUCGAAAAUGGUUUUAUGGGAGAGACUCAAGUAUAUUUAUUACCAUCAAAUAAGACGUGACUUAGAUUUUGGUUUUUCAUUUGCACGUGUUCGUAAACAAGGAAGCAAUUAUCCUUUUUAUCAUGAAAAUACCCCUAAGAGAUUAAUAAUAUUCGGAUGAGCCAUCCGUCCAAAGCUACUCUCCACUGUCUGAAUUCAACAAAAAAACUCAAGUUAUAUUCGCCAAAGGAUAAAAUAAAAAUUCUAGCAUUGUUCUAAGAAAUCAAAGGGCUCGUGAGUUGCAUUAACAACAUAAAACAUAAAUUUAAUUCAUCUCGUAUUGCUAUUUCUUGCAUUUAGCACUUUGAUAAUGUCAUCUCGUAUUGGUAACUUUCAGUGAAAUUUCAUCACAAUUUGUUUAGAUGCAAUUUAUUAACUUCUGUUUCUUAAAAUCGGGCCAUAUUUAUUUUAUAACUCCUAAUUCUUGAAUCACUGAAUUAUUUUACUCUCAAACCAACAUUAUUAGAAAAAAAAAGCAAUACCAGAUGUUGUUUGAGCUUCAAUUUGAGAAAUCCCACACCACAAACUUCAAUCAAAAAGAAAAUUAAUUGUUUUACCACACAUAUCAUGUUAGUGAAAGAACGCUAUGAAUUAAUGUAUAAGGAGAAUCAAGCAUUUGUAGGACGCUGCUUUAGAUUGUUUUGCAAACAUCUGUUUGCAAUUCGAACAAACACCUUCAAACAUUUUGGGGUUAUUUAACUCUUUAUACCAGAAUCAAUUAUAUUCUUUAAAUUGCCUUCUUUGAUAGAUUCUUGAGCCCAUGGCACUAAACCCCAUUGCUCCUCAUCAAGACUUCCAUCCACUGCACGUUUCAGACACAAAACCUCCAACAAAACCACCCCAAAAGAAAACAGAUCAGACUUCCUGGUUAGCAUUCCAGUUGUGAAAUAAUUUGGAUCAAGAUACCCAAAGUUGCCUUUAACAAGUGUCUUGACGUAAGUAGAUGGCUUAUUGGUUGCGCCUAUUUUGGACAACCCGAAGUCUGAGAUUUUAGCUGCCCAGUUGUCAUCUAACAGAAUAUUUGAACUCUUGACAUCACGAUGUAUAACACCAAACUCGAUCCCGGUACCUGUGUGGAGGUAAUCUAACCCACGAGCAGUACCUAUACAGAUC
RNAcentral lists this long non-coding RNA (3475 nucleotides) under Lactuca sativa (garden lettuce). RNAcentral's name for it is "long non-coding RNA (LSAT_LNC007251)". Lineage: Eukaryota; Viridiplantae; Streptophyta; Magnoliopsida; Asterales; Asteraceae. The record is from RNAcentral.